RNAcentral lists this microRNA precursor (151 nucleotides) under Glycine max (soybean). Its description in RNAcentral is "miR1516b stem-loop (gma-MIR1516b)". The record is from miRBase by way of RNAcentral. Lineage: Eukaryota; Viridiplantae; Streptophyta; Magnoliopsida; Fabales; Fabaceae.
GAUUUGUUUUGAGUAUUUGGGUGGGGUGGAAUAUAACUAUAUAAGUCAUAAGUGCUUCUGAGAGCUUCUCUACAGAAAAUAUACAACUUUUUUUGGUAGAGAAGUUUUGAAAAGCUCUUAAAAGCAUUCUACCUUUGUAUCCAAACAGCGC